AACGCACAUUGCGCCCGCCAGUAUUCUGGCGGGCAUGCCUGUCUGAGCGUCAUUUCAACCCUCAUGCCCCAGGGCGUGGUGUUGGGGAUCGGCCCGGGCCCUAGUGGCCUGGCCGUCCCCCAAAUCUAGUGGCGGACCCGCCGUGGCCUCCUCUGCGUAGUACUGAACUUUCGCAUGUGGAGAGCGGCGCGCCCCUGCCGUGAAACCCCAACUUCUCAAGGUUGACCUCAGAUCAGGUAGGAAUACCCGCUGAACUUAA
RNAcentral lists this unclassified non-coding RNA (259 nucleotides) under uncultured Hypocreales. RNAcentral describes it as "sequence contains 5.8S rRNA gene, ITS2, 28S rRNA gene". The stretch from base 1 to 52 matches the Rfam family "5.8S ribosomal RNA", at positions 103 to 154 of the family's 154-position model. Lineage: Eukaryota; Fungi; Ascomycota; Sordariomycetes; Hypocreales. The record is from RNAcentral.